This 1372-nucleotide ribosomal RNA is filed under the name uncultured bacterium. RNAcentral describes it as "bacterial SSU rRNA". It matches the Rfam family "Bacterial small subunit ribosomal RNA", at positions 28 to 1381 of the family's 1533-position model. The record is from RNAcentral.
GAUGAACGCUGGCGGCGUGCCUAAUACAUGCAAGUCGAGCGAACGGACGAGAAGCUUGCUUCUCUGAUGUUAGCGGCGGACGGGUGAGUAACACGUGGAUAACCUACCUAUAAGACUGGGAUAACUUCGGGAAACCGGAGCUAAUACCGGAUAAUAUUUUGAACCGCAUGGUUCAAAGGUGAAAGACGGUCUUGCUGUCACUUAUAGAUGGAUCCGCGCUGCAUUAGCUAGUUGGUAAGGUAACGGCUUACCAAGGCAACGAUGCAUAGCCGACCUGAGAGGGUGAUCGGCCACACUGGAACUGAGACACGGUCCAGACUCCUACGGGAGGCAGCAGUAGGGAAUCUUCCGCAAUGGGCGAAAGCCUGACGGAGCAACGCCGCGUGAGUGAUGAAGGUCUUCGGAUCGUAAAACUCUGUUAUUAGGGAAGAACAUAUGUGUAAGUAACUGUGCACAUCUUGACGGUACCUAAUCAGAAAGCCACGGCUAACUACGUGCCAGCAGCCGCGGUAAUACGUAGGUGGCAAGCGUUAUCCGGAAUUAUUGGGCGUAGAGCGCGCGUAGGCGGUUUUUUAAGUCUGAUGUGAAAGCCCACGGCUCAACCGUGGAGGGUCAUUGGAAACUGGAAAACUUGAGUGCAGAAGAGGAAAGUGGAAUUCCAUGUGUAGCGGUGAAAUGCGCAGAGAUAUGGAGGAACACCAGUGGCGAAGGCGACUUUCUGGUCUGUAACUGACGCUGAUGUGCGAAAGCGUGGGGAUCAAACAGGAUUAGAUACCCUGGUAGUCCACGCCGUAAACGAUGAGUGCUAAGUGUUAGGGGGUUUCCGCCCCUUAGUGCUGCAGCUAACGCAUUAAGCACUCCGCCUGGGGGGUACGACCGCAAGGUUGAAACUCAAAGGAAUUGACGGGGACCCGCACAAGCGGUGGAGCAUGUGGUUUAAUUCGAAGCAACGCGAAGAACCUUACCAAAUCUUGACAUCCUUUGACAACUCUAGAGAUAGAGCCUUCCCCUUCGGGGGACAAAGUGACAGGUGGUGCAUGGUUGUCGUCAGCUCGUGUCGUGAGAUGUUGGGUUAAGUCCCGCAACGAGCGCAACCCUUAAGCUUAGUUGCCAUCAUUGAGUUGGGCACUCUAAGUUGACUGCCGGUGACAAACCGGAGGAAGGUGGGGAUGACGUCAAAUCAUCAUGCCCCUUAUGAUUUGGGCUACACACGUGCUACAAUGGACAAUACAAAGGGCAGCGAAACCGCGAGGUCAAGCAAAUCCCAUAAAGUUGUUCUCAGUUCGGAUUGUAGUCUGCAACUCGACUACAUGAAGCUGGAAUCGCUAGUAAUCGUAGAUCAGCAUGCUACGGUGAAUACGUUCCCGGGUCU